RNAcentral lists this ribosomal RNA (233 nucleotides) under uncultured bacterium. Its description in RNAcentral is "partial 16S ribosomal RNA". It matches the Rfam family "Bacterial small subunit ribosomal RNA", at positions 118 to 347 of the family's 1533-position model. The record is from RNAcentral.
UGAGUAACCUGCCCUUAACUCUGGGAUAAGCCUGGGAAACUGGGUCUAAUACUGGAUAUGACUCCUCAUCGCAUGGUGGGGGGUGGAAAGCUUUAUUGUGGUUUGAUGGACUCGCGGCCUAUCAGCUUGUUGGUGAGGUAAUGGCUCACCAAGGCGACGACGGGUAGCCGGCCUGAGAGGGUGACCGGCCACACUGGGACUGAGACACGGCCCAGACCUCCGUACGGGAGCAG